RNAcentral lists this long non-coding RNA (363 nucleotides) under Mus musculus (house mouse). RNAcentral describes it as "long non-coding RNA chr4:47041597-47041960". Lineage: Eukaryota; Metazoa; Chordata; Mammalia; Rodentia; Muridae. The record is from RNAcentral.
AUGGUUCAAUAUUCUCUUGACCCAGAAAACCCUAUGAAAUCAUGCAAAUCAAGAGGGUCAGGUCUUCAUGCUCACUUUAAUGGCAUCUGUGAAACUGCCAGGGCCAUCAGAGAUAUGCAUAUCUGAACAGCCAGCAGGUACCUCAAGGAUGUCUUUAAAUAAUCAGUUUGUGUCAUUUCAGUGGUUGUAAUGGGGGAGCUGUGUAGGAAUGCUCAGGCCAAAGGGUGAGGCUGAGGACUGUUUCGAUGGCCCCCAAACAGUGCUCACUUUUCCUACACGUGCUACCUCAGAGGGUGACGCUGAACUUAAAAGAUUUAGGUGUAGAGUCUCCAUUCAGUGAACAUCUCCAGGUAACCAAGCUUC